GAAAAGGGGAAAUGGUGUGGGAAAUCCUUCUGUAUAUGUGUUGCUUUUAUUGGUUAGUGAGUAAAGCUGUUUUGGCCAUUGGCUUAGCAGAAUAGAGCAAGUUGAGAAUUCCAAGCAGAUGGAGGAGGAAAGAAGGCAGAAUCAGGAGGAAGUCAUGUAGCUGCCUCAGGAGACAGACGUAUCCCAGAACUUUACUGGUAAACCAUGAGCCUCGUGGUAAAAUAUAAAAUAAGAAAAAUUGGUCCAUUUAAGAUGUAAGAGCUCGCAAGAAAUAUGUACAAGCUAUUGACCAAACAGUAUUGUAAAUAAUAUAGCUUCUGUGUAAUUAUUUUGGCUCUGGGAGGCCAGAAAACAAGCAAGCAGCUUUCUGCUUACAUGCAGACACUGCUGUGGUUACUCACCUGCACAGCACGGAAACUCCAGUCUUCCCACCAUGAAAGUAGCAUCCUUCUCUGUCUCUGUCUUUCCCCUUCUAGCUGUCCUCCAGCCUCCUCCACUUUCUUGCUCAGAGGAACCUCUAGACGAGUGGUUCUCAACCGUCCUAAUGCUGAGACCCUUUACUACAGUUCCUCAUGCUGUGGUGACCCCAAACAAAAUUAUUGUUGUGGCUACUUCAUAACUAUCAUUUUGCUACUGAUAUGAAUCAUCAUGUAAGUAUCUGUGUUUUCCAAUGAUCUUAGGUGACCCCUGUGCAAGGGUCAUUCAACCCCAGAGGGGUUGUGACUCAUGGUUGAGAACCACUACUGUUAACAGAGGCUCUCUUCCAAGUGCUGAUAGCUCUCCCUUAGCUCAGGAGUACCCUCUGCUGUCUGACUUCUGUCCCAGUCACCCUGAAGGUCCCCAGAUGCCCAUGUCUAGUCAGCCUUUCCUUUGCUCAUGCUCCACUCAGCCAUCUUGCUGGCUUUGCAUUUGUGGGUGUUUUUAAGAAUAUUGUUCCUUUAGUUGUUUGUGUUUCUUUCAGCAGCUCUCCCCCCUUCCCCUCCCCGCCAUACUGCUUCUGUCUGUCUGUCUGUCUCUCUUCCUCGCCUUCUCUGGGGGGUUCUUCAGUGUACCUCAGGAACCAUGGGUAGUUGAAGUACCCAAAGGGUUUGCUACUGGCUGAACUGACAGGCCAGAGAUCUGCGCUAUGGGCGGCCCCCCCCUGGGUCCUGUGCCAUUUCCCUGAAUCAUGCUCUUCAAUGCGUUCCAGCCCACCAUCCGUCCCACUGCUCUCUACCUACCCUGUCACUGGAGGUUCUCUCAAGUUCCUGUCAUCCUUAAAUAGCCUGGCUCACAUAGCCUGUUGUGAUUGGACUCUUGUGUAGUUCUCGGGUUGGCCACUGACUCCUGACGCUCAGUGUGCUCUGUGACCUGAGGUGCACCCUGAACGCACACACUGGCUUACACUUUGUGGUCUGUCAGUUUCCUAUCACUGAUGCCCUGCACCAAAGCCCUUUUAAAGCUCACCUUCAUGCCUGUGCCUGGUGGUGCAUGCUUGUAACCCCAGCAUUUAGUAGGCUAAGAUGGGAGAAAUGCCACAAAGUUGCAGUUCAACCUAGACCAUAGAGUGAGAUAUUAGCUCAAUAAUCUCAUUUGAAAAACCCAUUGAACUAGAACGCGUCCACCUCCCACAGGCUGCAUUGAGCGUCAUUGCUUGAGCCCAGUGUUUUCUCCCUGUCCUCAAGGUCCCCUGUGUAAGCCACACCCUCAGAACCACAGUUAGUGAGGGCUCGCCCCUCAGGUUGGAGUGUGAGCUCAGCACACACAGGGUCCCAGCCUGCUUCUCCAGUCUCCAGAGAACAGGUGUAGGAUGGACCUGGGUACAGUGUGAACAGCAACCCCUCGUGUCUGUUAUAGAGAAAACAAUGCCAAAAAGUCAAAAAGGACCAGUUUGAGUAAAGGGGUCUGUUUGGAGGGAAAUCCCCAGAAGAAUGGCAGCGGGGAGGUUGCACACUUGUCCCCUUGUCAUGGGAUGUUCUGUCGUGGGGCGAGGGUUGAGUGGCGGGGAAGUUACGUGGAGACAAUACACAGAACUGGAGAGAGUUGGGCAAUGAGAAGGAAGAUCGGUUCCAUCACUAACAUCGUAUUAGAAGUCUCUGAGGGCUAACCCACAAGUAAGCGAAGAUGGGUUAAAGGUAACUUAAGAUAGAACUUGGAGCAAAUUGGGUUGCGAAAGGUGCAGUAACAUGUCAUAGCCACCAGGUGGCACUAGAGGAUUUCCUUCAGCACAAACAGGGUUUGUCUCUGUGUCACGCUGGCGGUCACCUACUCUCUAAAGAAGGCAAUUCUGAGAUUUGGAGAAAAUAUUCACUUUGUAGGGUGCAAUGAAACUAUUCAUUAGUUGUCUUUGAAUAUGCACAUUUAAAAAAAUCAGCCCCCUUCCACUAGUCUCAAAGCAUUUUGAGGUGGUCUCCCUAAUUUUCCCAGCAGCUUUGGCUCAGGCUCCAUAUGCUGGACACAGACAAGGAAGUGAUCUGUCUUGAUCCAAGCAGGAACUCCUGUGUAUCCCUCAUUCAACAGGAUGGGUAUGGACCGCAGGAGAUUGCAUGGGUUGUUGUUGGCAGAGAUCUGCGCCCUGGACUCUGAGCAAAGAAAACACACCCUAGUUUGCUCGUCAGGAAUUGUUUGGUAUUACAUUUGCAAAGCUUGCCGUUUGUUAUUGACAAUUUGUUCAAAGAAGCUUGACAAAGCAAAAGCACUGCGGGCCAAAGGGCUAAGACGGGUCAGUCUUAGAGUGGCGUACCACAUGGAGCCCGGCGUGAAUACAAAGUUCUCCUCCCAAGGUUCUCUCCCUGCUCUGCCGACAGAAGGUGCGGCUCAUUGCUUUCUCCAUCCAUUGUCUCCGAGAAGCCUUCUGGGACGACAUUUAGGUGCAGCUCCCUGCUGUGUUCCCUCGCAUGGCUGUCCUUCCUCCAUGCAGCCGCCUUCACCCUGUA
Molecule: long non-coding RNA, 2915 nt
Organism: Alexandromys fortis (reed vole)
Lineage: Eukaryota; Metazoa; Chordata; Mammalia; Rodentia; Cricetidae
Exons: 3
Source: RefSeq, a predicted model, not a curated record